This 313-nucleotide ribosomal RNA is filed under the name Chthamalus challengeri. RNAcentral's name for it is "partial 12S ribosomal RNA". Lineage: Eukaryota; Metazoa; Arthropoda; Thecostraca; Balanomorpha; Chthamalidae. The record is from RNAcentral.
GUAUUAAUAAAGAAAUUUAGCGGAUUUGGCGGCAAGAUAGCCCAUUUAGAGGAACCUGCCCUGUAAACGAUGAGCCACGAAAGGCCCUACUUUAUUUUGUAAUCAGUUUGUAUACCGCUGUUGUCAGUCAGUUUUAAUAGAAAACUUUCCAUAAUGAUAAUAAUCAUUGACUUCAAGUAAAGGUGCAGCUUAUAAUAAAGUUAGAGGUGGGUUACAAUUUAAAGAAAAAAAAACGAACAAUAAUAUUAAAAAUUAUUUGAAGGUGGAUUUAAUUGUAAAGUUUUAGCAAACUUGACGAGAGCACUAACUUGUG